Molecule: long non-coding RNA, 1325 nt
Filed under: Macaca fascicularis (crab-eating macaque)
Lineage: Eukaryota; Metazoa; Chordata; Mammalia; Primates; Cercopithecidae
Description: lncRNA (ENSMFAG00000063140.1)
Source: RNAcentral
UAAUGACUUUGUAAUAUGCCAAAAGCAUUUUCUUGAAGUACCUCAUCAUAUAUUUUAUAAUAGACUGUAUUUCAUAUGUAUAUGUAUUGUUGCCUAUCAGUGACUUACAAAUGAACUGGAAUUUCAGGAAUCUGAUAGACUCUGCCCUUGAGUUUUCUAUGUUUCAGUUUCUUACUAGGAAAAACUAAACUGAGGAUGGAAAUGGGAGAUCAGAAACAGCCAACAAAGGAAACAGGAAAGGAAGGCAUCUGGUCAAUAAGAAGAGCUAGAGGCACCAGGAGCCUCAGCCCUGAAACAAGCUCCUUAGGGAGUUUAUCUUAGGUGGAGCCCUCAUCAUCAGGUGAGGUUAUGUAAGCAUCCCUGCUGUGCAGAAGGAGAGUCUGAGGCCUGUUAGACUGACCAAGAGACACAAACGUAGAGCAAGUGCAGAUUAAAAAAGAGGUAGCACAGAGUUGAGCAUUGUCAAUAGGUAACCACUCUAGAGAUUGAGCAUGGAUUCCAGGCUGCAUGAAAAAGAAAAGCUUGUUAGGUUGGAACAGUUGAGAUCCUGGAGGCUUGGAGCAGCUGAAGAACAGAUUUAGUGAGACAGAGAGAAGAGAUGGAAGGAUGUGGACCCAGGGUGGGACUUUUUUUUUUAAGGAGCAGUUUCAAGCAAUGAUGAGGUCUGGGUUGUGACUACAGGAACAGCAGCAGCAGCAUCUAGUUUACCCACCACAGUGUUCAGAGAACCAUGCAAGUCAACAGACUUUUGUUUAUGAACUGAAGGCUCAGAACAUGACACACCAAAGUAUGCCACUUUAGUAUAAAGAUUAUUUUGAGCUGAAGGCAGGUGAGAAUCUGCAGACACAGAAAAAAAGCUCUCUACCCUCUUCCUAUUUGCCUAAAAGAAGGGCAUAAAUUUCCCACACUCUUAUCAUCCCAGAAAUAGCACUGAGAGAAAUCUACAUAACAAACAUUACUUAAAUAACUCUUAUCUUCCAUUAGUUUCUACCACAUAUUUGCCGUCCCACAAUUUACUGCCACUAGAAGCUCAAACCCCUUUCCUUUGUCUUGUCAAAUGUAUUGCCCUUUGUUAAAAUGGUAUAUAAACCUUCAGGUCUAACUACUUCUUUGGGUUUUUAUUUCAUCUGUGAGCCCCUCAUAUGCAUAUAAAAUAAACCUUUUUCUCCUGUUAAUCUGUCUUUUGUUGGUUCAAUUCCAGUCAUUGGACCUAAGAGUGUAGAGGAAAAAGCCUUUACUCCUGUCUGGUAGGACAUUAGUUAGACUCCGAAUUAAAAGUGCCCUACAACCACCAAGCACUAGAGUAUUAUUGUUAUGAGAUACUG